Gallus gallus (chicken) is the source of this 1274-nucleotide long non-coding RNA. Lineage: Eukaryota; Metazoa; Chordata; Aves; Galliformes; Phasianidae. The record is from Ensembl.
CUUAUGGCAGGAAAGAAAGGUAUCCCAAAAUGGCUGAUAAUCUGGCACAUAACAAAUUCCUGUACUUCCAGGUUGUGCUUCCUGCCUUACAGAACAGGCCUGGGCUACUGACCUUGCUCUAACUAAGCCUCUUCCCUGAUUAAAAGAUGGCAGCAGAAGGGCAGUCUGACAUAACAGUGUCUGACACCAAAGUGUGGGUGAAGCAGAGAUGUCACUGAAUUCCUCCAUGUUGAAUGUUUAUGGAGACCAAUCAGAGGAUUUUAGCACAAUGAAGUGGAAAAAAAGUCAAAUCACAACAAAGACGGAGUGGAAAUCAGUGUGGUUCUGUGUAAUUCAAGAGACAGGGCCACAGACAGGAAGAGAGAGUGAUGUAGCAGAAGAAAAAUGAAGAUGGCUGCAAAUAUAUUUCCAGAGGAAAUGAAGUUCCUUUGGCUGGAAUUCAGCAGCUCCCUUUGUCAUCGUUGACCAUGAAUGGAUGAACUUCAUGUAGAUGAUGCCCAUUUCCCAUCUUUGAAUCAAACAUUAAUACCAUUUGACAGUAAUAAAUAACAUUUAUCACAAUAGGGAUCUACUAAUGAUUUUCCCACUAAGCUGGCUCAUCAGAACCUAUCAGCUGACAACUGCAUAAAUGAGAUUAGCAUAACAGCUGCCUAUGACAAAUGUAUCUAAAUCAUUUUAAUGCCAGCUAGCUCUUUGAUCUCCCUAUCACGUUGUUGCCAAAACUAAAUCCAUUUCUUCAAGAUACAUGUUGUUUAUUACAGAUACAUGUGUAUAUUCCACACCAUUAUGUACUCCAGAGAUUUCAGUAAUUAAAAGAAUUAAAAAUACUGAUUGGAUACUGCCACUAUAAUGUAAACUUGCAACUCUGCACUUCAGAACAGCAUUCCACUGCCUACUUAGUCCCCUCCUCCUUCUCCAGAUUGCAGAAUUCAGUGUUUAAUAGCUGCAUGUUUCUCUGACACAAAAUACAUGUUUUAACGUAAAUACAUGUAUUAACUUCUCUUUCUGAGUAUCCCUUACAGCGGCAUCAUUUUCAUACAAUUUAGACUAAUUCCCAGUAAUAUAGGAGUUGGCUCCAGGCAAAUAUUGAAGCAACGAGUCAUUGCGUGUGUUUGUAUGAAUGCAAGACUGACAAAGAAAAUCUCACUGGUAGUGCAGCAUUCAUGUUGUGACUGUUAUUAAAGGGUUGCCUAUGAGAUUGUCAUACAAUCUCAUGACAACAGACUUCAGACAGACCAAUGACAAUAGCACUUCCAUAACCACACUUCUAAAAG